RNAcentral lists this long non-coding RNA (1111 nucleotides) under Equus caballus (horse). RNAcentral describes it as "lncRNA (ENSECAG00000042310.2)". The record is from RNAcentral. Lineage: Eukaryota; Metazoa; Chordata; Mammalia; Perissodactyla; Equidae.
CUUGUGACUGCUUGCCUUGAUUGAUAGAAUAUGGCGGAAGUAAGGCUGCGUGACGUCUGAGGCUUCUCCCUGGCUCUCUUUCUUGGGACACAUGCUUUGGAAGCCUUGAACCUACGUGUAAAAGGUCUGGCCACCUUGAAGCUGCCAUAUAGGAGAGACCACCUGGUGGAGAUGAAGAGAAGAACAACCAGAUGAAGCCAGUGGAGCAGAGAUGAGCUGUCCCUGCUGAACGCUGCCUGAAUUGAAGAUUUAUGAGCAAAAAUGCAUCUAGAAGAAGUUGGGUCAUCUCUGCAGAAGUCUUGGCUGGCUGAAGUCCCUUAAUCUGGUUACUUGGCCCAAGGGACAUGUAGUUACUUUAGAGCUGCUUCUGUCUUUUUCCACCUCCCGUGUGUGCUCAGCCAAGUUUCCAGCGCCUUCUUGAGGCCCCUGCAAACUCUUUAGUGCCUGCUGCUGCUGUCCCAUUUUGUCCUCACAUCGCUAUGUUAACUGCCUCAGAUUUCAAACGGAAUUUGUAAUGAGCUUUGCCUGGACACGACCUGUCAUAUGGAAGACAUGAUUUAUACACAGGGACACAAGAUUCUCUGUAAACGCUUUAUGGAGCCAGCUUCUACCGGAUGAUACAUACGUGUUGGAUUGGCUUCAUGAAGAGGCAAUCAGGCUAUUGACCUCCAUGUGACUCCAUCUUCUUGUACAAGCUAUUUCUCAAAUCUUCACACAAAGGAAGAGCCUCUCACAGUUAUGAUUUUAACUCCCACAGUGCCCGCAAACUAUUUACGAACAUUCCACCACACUGCUGACCUGACCUCAAAGACUCCCAUGUACACAGGAGCAUCUGCCCUCCGUGUAACAGAACAAGGACAGCCGUAAAGCCACGGCCCCGAAGCACCACGAUGGAGGGAAGGAAUCCAGAUGGAAGACUGGGUUUGGCUCUUCUUAUGCCAUAGCUAUACUCUGAGCAUAAAGCUAGGAAAAGUUCCUGGAGCCUUCUCAAGCAAUUCAGGUCACAAAUGGAGAGAUAUCCUUUCUCUUGCUUCCCUCUUCCAGGUGUGUAUAGGAAGACCCUGUCUGGACCCUGCUUUGCACUCCACAUUCGGCAUGAUUUGCUCCAGGG